GUUUUAGGUUUCCUUGUCCUAUCGAAUUCGACUCUGUCACUGUCUAAUCUCUCACUCGAGUCUCAGUCUCUCUCGCCGUCUGUGAAUCGUUCCUUCCCCUCCACCACCCCGACAUCACGACGGUCCUGGCGACCACCACGACAGCCUAACAACUUCGACGGCAUCCCAAACUUACAGAACCCAGUCACCCCACCACCCAUCUUCUCGAUUUGUCACUUAUCUCUCAGUCUCACAGGUCAAUUUUAUGUGAUUAGUGCCAGCAUUUUUUAAGGAUCUGAAUCUGGUACUCAGUCUCUGUCUCACAGGAUUGUAAAAAGAAUGCAUAUAUGGAGGCAGAGUUGCACUGUUCAAAUGCCAUACAAAUCAUGGAAAGGAAGCUGAGAACAGCAUGCCAUGCUAGUGAUGCUAAUAUUGAUAAUGUUGGGAAGGUUCUUGAUGGUCUUCUAUCUGACUAUGAAGCAGCAAGUCAUGGUCCAGCAAAAUGGCAGAAACUGACCAUGUUCUUACAGAAAAGUUUUGAAGGGCCAAGACUGAGCUAACUAUUCUGGGAUUAGUUGGUUGAUUUCUCAAUUCCUUAAACGAGAAGAUUCAAUGAGGAAUUGAGGAUUGUUGUUGGAAUUUGGGCGUUGGAUGAUGUGGUUUUAAUUUGAAAUUUAUUGCGGAUGUCAUGUUUAUGUUGUUUUGGAUUAUUUGAUUUUUGGAAUUUGGAUGUCUUGGACUUUCGGAUAUUGUGUAUGUGGAUUUCAUUUUUAGAUGUUGGAGGACGAUGUAAUAUUGUUAUUUUGGAUGUAUUGUUAAAAUUUAAUUUAUGAACUUGGAUAUUAGAC
Long non-coding RNA from Malus domestica (apple), 827 nucleotides. RefSeq lists it as uncharacterized. NCBI's taxonomy places the organism in Eukaryota, Viridiplantae, Streptophyta, Magnoliopsida, Rosales, Rosaceae. The record is from RefSeq and is a predicted model, not a curated record.